UUUGUUUCGGUGAUCUUGCGGGUGACGUGCAGAAAGGUCAUCUCUUAGAAUUUUAGGGUGAAGAAGAGCACAGAAGCUAUGACGUCCAAUAGAACGACAGCGUGUCCUUGAAGAAGCAUCUCAAGAUCCCCUCCCGAGCAGCCCCAGGCAGUUUUCAGGUUUCUUCGAAGCUCUAAGAAAGCCUUGUCUACCUCGUGAGGUCGCAGGAGUCCAGGAAUGAACAAGACAAUCAUUAGCAACUACAGACCUCAGAAACCAGAUAACCAGACCAGCACAUGCAGAGCUCCGGUUGGCGGGCUACGCCCCUUCCGGGAGAACCAACUGGCUCGUCCAAUCACCGGCAGGAAGGGCAACUCGUGGGUGAUGCCAGGAUUCAACAUGGCGUCUUGGUGCCGCUCGGUGGUCUAUUCGGGCCUCCCCCUGCAGACCUACGCCGUAGCUGCUCGUCCAAUCGCCGAGAGGGAGGUCGAGCCUAGGUGCGCCCUUGCAACAAAGCUGGCGGCCAGAGGCGCUCACGUUUAAGGGAUUCCGCUGGUCCUUCGUGCGAGCUGCCUUGGAGGUUGUGUGCCCCUGAACCGCGCCUCACUGCUCUUGCUGUGGCAAGAGACAGAUGUGAGGGGCAAGGUGUACUCUCCGCUUUGGGUUCCUGCCCCGAGGCGCCGAGCAGAGGGGUUGCACAGGUCCCGGGUCCCAGCUGGAGGACGUGGGGAAGAGCAGCAGCACGCCCACUUCCCUGCAGUGUUUGUAGAGUACCUGCGCGUGUCACCGUGGCCAGAACCGUCCACUUGUAACCAGCUGGACCCCAGUAUUCCUGUCAGCUGCAGCUGAGUAGAUGUGUCUCGUUUUUUUCUCACUCAUGAGGGAUGGUGGCAUUAGUUUAUCAGACAAAAUGUCUGGGGCCCCAAAGAGAAAGAAAAUUGAGCCUGUUCAAGACGUGAACCAAAAGCUACCCCCAAAUCUGACUUCCUUUCUUGUUCCUGUAAACUUUCAGAUGUGUGAACCAAUCCCAGUUAUGACAAAUUGGCAUAGUAGUUCUAUGCAUGCCUACCUGGCAUGGUGGACAGGUGCAUGUAUAUUUAGGAGUGAAAAAAAUGCGUUGUUACAUCUGUUUUAAAAAUUUGCAUUUUAGGAGACCUGAAGCUGAGCAAUACAGUGUCCAACCCCGGUCAACCUGAAAUCACCCGAAAUAAACCUGUAGCCCAGCAAAAGUAGGUGUAUUGAUUCAUUGCAGUAAGGGGCGCUGCACACCAGAAACACCAUGGGGCAUUUAACCAAAUGAAGGAAAAGAUACAGUUACAGGAUUGUGGAAUGGAAUUUAAACAAUUCCAUUGUUUAGAUGGAGCUUAAAUGAAACACUGUUUAGAAAGGCUCAAAGCAAAGCAGGACUGUGUAAAGGGGUCAACAUCAGGCCUAGACAGCAAAAUGGACCCAUGAAAAUGUUGUCCAAAAACCCUUUUCUGAAGCUUUGCACCUGGGUUGUAAAUUGAAACUGCUUUUCUAUGUUAAAGUGACUUAGAUCUUCCAGGCAAGAGUGAGAUGUUUCAUUUUUACUGAUAAAAUUUCAAAGACCAAA
Equus caballus (horse) is the source of this 1573-nucleotide non-coding RNA. Lineage: Eukaryota; Metazoa; Chordata; Mammalia; Perissodactyla; Equidae. The record is from RefSeq and is a predicted model, not a curated record.